ACGCAAACCAAUUAUAUCUAUAUAUAUAUACAUGAUAUAAUCUUAGGUUGAAUCCCAUUACUUGGCUCGCUUCAAAAUCUCAGCCCUAACCCUCGCUGUUGCGUUCACGCGCCGUGGAGCCAUGUCCCAAUACCAGUUUAAAGGUAGCUUAAGGGGUAGGGGGAGGGCUAACAUCCCCUCAAAAUUGAGAUUUUCGAUGGGCACACUCAAAGCGCUUCAGUUCUGACUUGCUCCCACAAUACCUUGCGAGAAAACGGAAAAUCAAGAAAUAUCCUAGACAAGAUGGAGGGCGAAAAGAUGCGACAGGAUUGGAAAAACACAAAUGUAAGUGUUUUCUCUGUGAUCAACUAGUAAUUAUUUUAUUAAUUAUACUCUGCAGCCCGGCCGCGGGCUUCGAAGCCCGGCCGCGGACUCUUGGAAGAUCGCGAAAGUCCGCGGCCGACUUUCGCGGAAGAUCGCGAACGCGGGCCGCCCGACCCCGGUUCUGGGCCGGGCUGCAGACCGGGCUGCAGGCGCGUCGUUAGCAAUUGAAAACAUCCGGGGCUUUAGCCCGGGGGGGAGCACCGUCCUGACUCCUGCGUGCUACGGUAUCUUAAUUAAUUAAAUAAUUAAUUAAUUAAUUAAUUAAUUAAUUAAUGUAUCGAUUAAUUAAUUAAGGGCGCCCCCAACACAUAGGUCGCCUAUGCCGAGCGCCAGGGCAAAAAUAAGACAUUAGAAUAGCCUAUAUAGCCUGCGUGCACCUACCCGAUGUCAAGAAGCCAUCGCUGCUCCGACGGACCUUUCUCCCCCAGCCAGGCACUUGCAGUUAACUACAGCCGCCCUUCCUGGGUAAUGCCACCACCAAUCCCUGGUCAUCCAUUGAAGCCAUCUCUCUCACUCUGCACAGUCACACUGUUGCCGCUUCAUUCUCAUUGUCUCAUAAUCUCAUUAUUAUGGCUGCUGUGGAUGCUUUAAAAAAUAAACAUUUUUCUCUUAGGUAAAAUCUAACCAGUGGGAUGUUAGAUUGAAAACCUCCAAAGCAAUGUAUUAAAAAUUGAAAGACAGUCCUAUGUGAAGUUUGUUUUUUGGGGAUUUUCAAAAUGAGGUACCAGAAUGGAUUGUCAACCCACUGUUUCUCAACCAUCUCCGAUUAUUACUAUGAGUAGUAGUAUUGCAUGCAUACAGUACUCACAUCAGCGCCAC
Molecule: long non-coding RNA, 1182 nt
Filed under: Gadus morhua (Atlantic cod)
Lineage: Eukaryota; Metazoa; Chordata; Actinopteri; Gadiformes; Gadidae
Description: lncRNA (ENSGMOG00000035802.1)
Source: RNAcentral